This 1226-nucleotide ribosomal RNA is filed under the name Pristimantis venegasi. RNAcentral's name for it is "partial large subunit ribosomal RNA". It matches the Rfam family "Bacterial large subunit ribosomal RNA", at positions 849 to 2925 of the family's 2925-position model. Lineage: Eukaryota; Metazoa; Chordata; Amphibia; Anura; Strabomantidae. The record is from RNAcentral.
CUGGUUUCUCAAGAAAAGAAUUUUAGUCCAACCUAAAGUAACUUAGAUUUCUAUUAAUCAACACCUUACUCUAGAGCAAUUCAAAUGAGGUACAGCCCAUUUGACAAAGGAUACAACCUUCACUAACGGGUAACACUUUAUUCCCACCCUCAAGUAGGCUUAAGAGCAGCCACCUUCUUAAAAGCGUCAAAGCUUAAUUGUGCUAAUAUUAAUUUAAAAACCAACAUUGACCCCUUUAAUCAUAUUGAGAACUUCUAUAACCCUAUAGAACCUUUCAUGCUAAAACUAGUAACAAGAGAAAGCUCCUCUCUUUAAUGCCAACAUACGCCAACAAGAACCCCUCGCUGGCAAUUAACAGACCUAAACAAAAGUAGCAACCUCACUAGAAAACCCUACUCCUACACCUGUUAACCUAACACCAGAGCAUUUCAAGAAAGAUUAAAAGAAAAAGAAGGAACUCGGCAAACCUUAGCCCCGCCUGUUUACCAAAAACAUCGCCUCUUGACCCCCCAUAAGAGGUACAGCCUGCCCAGUGACUCUGUUUAACGGCCGCGGUAUCCUAACCGUGCAAAGGUAGCGUAAUCACUUGUUUUCUAAAUAAAGACCAGUAUGAAAGGCAUCACGAGAGCUAAACUGUCUCCUUUUUCCAAUCAGUGAACCUAAUUUCCCCGUGAAGAAGCGGGGAUACAUCUAUUAGACGAGAAGACCCUGUGGAGCUUAAAAUAUAAUAACAAGUGCACCUAAUUUUAACUACCCCGGUACUUCCCCGAAUGACACUUUGAUUAUAUAUUUUUGGUUGGGGUGACCGCGGAGAAAAACCCAUCCUCCGCAAUGAACGGGAAUAUCCCUAAACAAUAAGUCACAACUUUAUGUACCAAUAAAUUGACAUCCAUUGACCCAAUAAAUUGAUCAACGAACCAAGUUACCCCAGGGAUAACAGCGCAAUCCACUUUGAGAGCCCCUAUCGACAAGUGGGCUUACGACCUCGAUGUUGGAUCGGGGUGUCCUGGUGGUGCAGCCGCUACCAAUGGUUCGUUUGUUCAACGAUUAAAACCCCACGUGAUCUGAGUUCAGACCGGAGUAAUCCAGGUCGGUUUCUAUCUAUAAAGAACUAUUUUUAGUACGAAAGGAUUAAAAUAGCAUGGCCAAUGUCUCCCCCAAGCCAUAGUUAGUAAUUUUAGGGCCCAGCUCAAAAAAUAAUUAACCUUCCCCAACCUUCAAGAAAA